RNAcentral lists this transfer RNA (65 nucleotides) under Rhithrodytes pantaleonii. RNAcentral's name for it is "tRNA-His". Lineage: Eukaryota; Metazoa; Arthropoda; Insecta; Coleoptera; Dytiscidae. The record is from RNAcentral.
AUUUAAGUAAUUUAAAAUAAAAUAUUGAUUUGUGGUAUCAAAAAUAUAAGAUAUUAUCUUAAAUU